UACAGAGGGUGCAAGCGUUGUCCGGAAUCACUGGGCGUAAAGGGCGCGUAGGCGGCCCGAUAAGUAGGGGGUGAAAUCUUGCGGCUCAACCGCAAGGCUGCCUUCUAGACUGUCGGGCUUGAGCACAGUAGAGGCAGGUGGAAUUCCCGGUGUAGCGGUGGAAUGCGUAGAGAUCGGGAAGAACACCCGUGGCGAAGGCGGCUCUCUGGGACGGUACUGACGCUGAGACGCGAAAGCGUGGGGAGCGAACAGG
This 253-nucleotide ribosomal RNA is filed under the name uncultured bacterium. Its description in RNAcentral is "partial 16S ribosomal RNA". It matches the Rfam family "Bacterial small subunit ribosomal RNA", at positions 524 to 776 of the family's 1533-position model. The record is from RNAcentral.